UUCUAUUCCAUGUAUGAAGCUUUUCCGGUAGUUUAAGGACAGAAGAACUCGUGGGCGAGUUCUAGUUAAGGUGGUGAGACUGUAACCCCUGGUUCCUAAUAAUCGAUUUUUUCCAUAAAUCGUGCUUUCGGACUCUCUUUAUCCAUGUUUACUUGGUCCAUCAAUUCAUAAACCCGACUCUUUAGUUGCGUUGGGCUCGCCGAGAUAGUCGAAAUGCACUACCUAUCUCCUCGAGCCGGACUCCGGGUUCAUCUCCUAUGAUUUAUUUCAAUCCCAUGGCUUAUAUUAUUAGGAAAUUUCAAAAAUAUUCUCUAAUUCAGGAAAUAGGAAAAAAACUGAACCUUAUCUCUUACCUCUCCCUCACAAUGUGAGCUCUCCUUGUCCAUAGGAGGCGUGUUCCACAUCUUUCUUCUCUUCCCCAAGCCGAAGGGAAGAAACCCUUUCUCCUCUCUUCUCCAGCCAUCCUACUCCCUCCUCCCUCCCUUCCCCACUCCUCCCCAGGUGCCUCCUUGCUGCACCACGCCCUUCACCACCUCCAUGGUUGCCCUUUGAUUUAGGGCUUUGAGGAAGAAGGAAAGGAGACAAGAAGAGGGGGAACAAGAAAGCUUCCCCAACUUUUCCCUUCACCAAAUCUUUGUGUUUUGACCAUAGAGCAGGUUGCAGCACCAAUCCACCGGAGAUAGCCUCGCACCACCUCCCUCGCAACGAUUGAGGCGAGUACACCGGGCAACAAGGGCUAGAUUGCUCCCUUAAUGUUAUGUUCAUGUUCACAUUAUUCCUUUACAUUCAUGCAAUGGUACAUCACCGUGAGGCUUUGCAAGUAUUAGGAAGGGCGUAGCUCCCAUGGGUGUCCACUCACACUUUUCAUACCCAUUCCAUCCACCUAGCUGAUCAUGGUAACUCUCAUACUUAGUUCAUGAUUCUUGGUAGCUAGGAUCUACUUGAGGUGUAUAAACUUUGCCUUGGUUUGUUUCCAUGAUCAAUAUGUUGACCUGUCAAGGUGGGUUGGAGUUGACUAGUCCCCACCUUGCACCAUGGUGUGUUGGAACGUAUGUUUCCUUUUGCUAUGUGUAGCAUAACGGUUGGUGGCUUCACCACUUUGCUCUACAUGGGUUGUAGGAGCCUGUUGGAUGCUUCUGCUUGUGAUAUUAUGAAUAUAUGCUCUGUUUAUUCAA
Molecule: RNA transcript, 1175 nt
Organism: Aegilops tauschii subsp. strangulata
Lineage: Eukaryota; Viridiplantae; Streptophyta; Magnoliopsida; Poales; Poaceae
Source: RefSeq, a predicted model, not a curated record